UGGGGAAUAUUGCACAAUGGGCGAAAGCCUGAUGCAGCGACGCCGCGUGAGGGAUGAAUGCCUUCGGGUUGUAAACCUCUUUCAGCAGGGACGAAGCGAAAGUGACGGUACCUGCAGAAGAAGCACCGGCCAACUACGUGCCAGCAGCCGCGGUAAUACGUAGGGUGCAAGCGUUGUCCGGAAUUAUUGGGCGUAAAGAGCUCGUAGGCGGUUUGUCGCGUCGGCUGUGAAAACCUGGGGCUCAACCCCGGGCCUGCAGCCGAUACGGGCAAACUAGAAUUCGGUAGGGGAGACUGGAAUUCCUGGUGUAGCGGUGAAAUGCGCAGAUAUCAGGAGGAACACCGGUGGCGAAGGCGGGUCUCUGGGCCGAUAUUGACGCUGAGGAGCGAAAGCGUGGGGAGCAAACA
Molecule: ribosomal RNA, 407 nt
Filed under: uncultured Frankiaceae bacterium
Lineage: Bacteria; Bacillati; Actinomycetota; Actinomycetes; Frankiales; Frankiaceae
Also listed under: 1 other name
Description: partial 16S ribosomal RNA
Rfam family: Bacterial small subunit ribosomal RNA
Source: RNAcentral